ACUGCGCUUCCGUCGCACAGAGCCUGACGAAGGCUUGGGCUCCCCGCGCGGUGACCGUCGAGGUGACCUGCACCUGGCUCCAUGGCGGAACCGGCCGGCACGGAUUAUUCCCCUCUCGGGAGAGGUCUGCAGCCGGGCCUCAGUGCUUCAGUUCGUGGCCUGGCAUUUUGUGAAGAGUGUCUUCAUCUCUGCAUCCCUAGUGCAACAGAGCAUGACAAAAAUUCAACAAAUAUUUAUUGAAGAGUCUUGAUGUCUUUUGGGAAAGGAACUCUAUGGUUACCUUUACUCUAAGGCAUUGUGAAGACCCUGUUUCUCUAGCUGUGCAGCUGCAAGGUCACUAGGCAGAUAAACUCAAGCCAUAAAACAUGUUUUUCCUUGAAAAAUUAGAUGGGUGUUACUGAUUCUUACCUCAGAGAAGAGAAUGUCAUGGAGACAAAAUGACCUGCUUAGAGUUCUGCACCCCCCAGCAUGGAGAGCAGAGCGCAAAGAUUUCUUCCGGACUCCCACAUUCCCCUUGGAAUCCAAGAACUGGUCUACUGUCACAACACUUUAGUACCCUCUUAGAUGGGGAUCUCACUCUGUUGCCCAGGCUGGUCUCAAACUCCUGGCUUCAAGCAAUCCUCCUGCUUCGGCCUCCCAAACUUCUGGGAUUACAGAUAUGAGCCACCACGGCUGGCUGACAGGCACCAAAUUCUAGGAGAGGACUUGAAUAGACUCCCAAGGAGGCAGCAGAAACUGGGGUAAUCACAACGGUCAACAGCAGCAAAGGCAGCACUUUCUG
RNAcentral lists this long non-coding RNA (781 nucleotides) under Homo sapiens (human). RNAcentral's name for it is "long non-coding RNA NONHSAT149551". Lineage: Eukaryota; Metazoa; Chordata; Mammalia; Primates; Hominidae. The record is from RNAcentral.